CCCUUAGAUGUCCUGGGCCGCACGCGCGCUACACUGAUGCAUGCAACGAGUUUCAUUUCUCCUGGGUCGAGAGGCCCGGGUAAUCUUUGAAUCUGCAUCGUGACGGGGAUAGAUUAUUGCAAUUAUUAAUCUUCAACGAGGAAUGCCUAGUAGGCGCAAGUCAUCAGCUUGCGUCGAUUACGUCCCUGCCCUUUGUACACACCGCCCGUCGCUCCUACCGAUUGGGUGUGCUGGUGAAAUGUUCGGAUCGGCCGUUUGUCGCGGUUUCCGCGGCUCGUGGCUGAGAAGUUCAUUAAACCCUCCCACCUAGAGGAAGGAGAAGUCGUAACA
RNAcentral lists this ribosomal RNA (330 nucleotides) under uncultured eukaryote. RNAcentral describes it as "partial 18S ribosomal RNA". It matches the Rfam family "Eukaryotic small subunit ribosomal RNA", at positions 1470 to 1796 of the family's 1831-position model. The record is from RNAcentral.